RNAcentral lists this long non-coding RNA (490 nucleotides) under Mus spicilegus (steppe mouse). Its description in RNAcentral is "lncRNA (ENSMSIG00000002196.1)". The record is from RNAcentral. Lineage: Eukaryota; Metazoa; Chordata; Mammalia; Rodentia; Muridae.
GCAAACGUCAGUCAGUACAGAGCUUGCAUCUUGAAUGUUUACCAGAAAUCACUGUGUUGAGGCUUUGCUCCCAUGAUUCUGUGGAUAUAUAAGAAGAGGGAAACCUCUCUGAUGUUAUUGAAAGCUUGAGUGUCUUCAAUCUGAUUCACUUCUGGACACAUCAUGAUGCUACUUACCAAUUGCUUUUUUUCUUCUCUACUCUACUUAUUGCAAACUUUUCCACUGGAUCAAUUUAACCAUUGGAUACUUCUAAUGCCCAGGGUGAAAAGAACUGUUGGAAAAACCCACAUGAAGAAGGAACCAAAAAAAAAAAAAAAAAGAAAGAAGAAGAAGAAGAAGAAGAAGAAGAAGAAGAAGAAGAAGAAGAAGAAGAAGAAGGAACCAAGAAGUAAAUGAUAAAUCUAUCUACAGAUCAAAGACCACACAUUAGCAACUGCCACUGUGAAGCCUGAAAGUCCACCUGUUUUUAACUUAAAAUUCUAUGAACGCG